CAGCCGUGUGGAAUGUGCCACUCUUGGAACUGAGGCUCUCGGUUUUUAAAAUUGGCUUGUAAAUCUCCGUGUAGUUUUCAGGCUUUAGGAAUUUUAUUUUAUCUGGAUUAAAGUCAUGUUCUGCUUUGGCAUAGGAAGGCGUUUAUGACUGUUAAAACAAGAAAUGAAAAAUAUAGGCCUGCAAUCAGCCGGGCUGCCUCCUGCCAGAGUCUAGGGAUUUGUCUUGGGGGCCAGGCUGAAGGUUUGCUGCCCUUCUCCCCGCACUGCUCUGUGUUUCUCCAGAAAGCUGGAGCUGGCUGCCUGGGAGCGGCUGUCGCGAUGGCUGGGAGGGCCUCAGGAACGAAGCCUUUGUCUUUGCUCAGGUGUGUUCUCACAAUGGGGAGCCACGGCCCUCCCCAAGGACCAGCGAGCAAUGGGCGCAUCUCAUUCGCUGCCUGCAUUUGCCCCCGCCCAUCCAAGAGAGCAGAAUCAGAGAGGGCCAGCCGCGAGUCACGGAGGACAAGAACUGAACGACUUCAUUGCCAUUCAUUGGGUCGCCAUAUUUGCACUGGCAACGAAACCCCCAGGAUACCCCUUGCCCUGGCAAUCAGUGAGUGGGGGUCGUUUCUUGCGUAUAAGAUAUGCUGGAGGUUGGAAGCCCCAAGGGGACAUUAAUAGAAUGUGAAGUAUUCAUGGAAUCCUAUUUAGGGGGAAAAUGGAGUUUGUGUUUGUGAGAGCUCCUUUUUUAAAUCGUGCGGCUGCAGGGAAG
RNAcentral lists this long non-coding RNA (748 nucleotides) under Equus caballus (horse). Its description in RNAcentral is "lncRNA (ENSECAG00000036023.3)". The record is from RNAcentral. Lineage: Eukaryota; Metazoa; Chordata; Mammalia; Perissodactyla; Equidae.